GCGAUGUUAACUCAGUUGGUAGAGUCUCGGCCUUCCAAGCCGUUGGUCAAGGGUUCGAGUCCCUUACAUCGCUCCA
RNAcentral lists this transfer RNA (76 nucleotides) under Stenotrophomonas phage Summit. RNAcentral's name for it is "tRNA-Gly". It matches the Rfam family "tRNA". From Rfam's summary of the family: Transfer RNA (tRNA) molecules are approximately 80 nucleotides in length. Their secondary structure includes four short double-helical elements and three loops (D, anti-codon, and T loops). The record is from RNAcentral. Lineage: Duplodnaviria; Heunggongvirae; Uroviricota; Caudoviricetes.